GACGAACGCUGGCGGCGUGCUUAACACAUGCAAGUCGAACGGAAAGGCCCUGCUUGCAGGGUGCUCGAGUGGCGAACGGGUGAGUAACACGUGGGUGAUCUGCCCCUUACUUUGGGAUAAGCCUGGGAAACUGGGUCUAAUACUGGAUAGGACCAUGCUGUAGGUGGUGUGGUGGAAAGAUUAGUUUCGGUAAGGGAUGAGCUCGCGGCCUAUCAGCUUGUUGGUGGGGUAAUGGCCUACCAAGGCGUCGACGGGUAGCCGGCCUGAGAGGGUGGACGGCCACAUUGGGACUGAGAUACGGCCCAGACUCCUACGGGAGGCAGCAGAGGGGAAUAUUGCACAAUGGGCGCAAGCCUGAUGCAGCGACGCCGCGCGGGGGAUGACGGCCUUCGGGUUGUAAACUCCUUUCAGCCAUGACGAAGCCCUUGUGGUGACGGUAGUGGUAGAAGAAGCACCGGCUAACUACGUG
Molecule: ribosomal RNA, 469 nt
Filed under: uncultured bacterium
Lineage: Bacteria
Description: partial 16S ribosomal RNA
Rfam family: Bacterial small subunit ribosomal RNA
Source: RNAcentral